GACGAACGCUGGCGGCGUGCUUAACACAUGCAAGUCGAACGGAAAGGCCCCAGCUUGCUGGGGUACUCGAGUGGCGAACGGGUGAGUAACACGUGGGUAAUCUGCCCUGCACUCUGGGAUAAGCCUGGGAAACUGGGUCUAAUACUGGAUAUGACCUUUCUCUUUAUGGGGUUUGGUGGAAAGUUUCUCGGUGUAGGAUGAGCCCGCGGCCUAUCAGCUUGUUGGUGGGGUGAUGGCCUACCAAGGCGACGACGGGUAGCCGGCCUGAGAGGGUGAUCGGCCACAUUGGGACUGAGAUACGGCCCAGACUCCUACGGGAGGCAGCAGUGGGGAAUAUUGCACAAUGGGCGGAAGCCUGAUGCAGCGACGCCGCGUGAGGGAUGACGGCCUUCGGGUUGUAAACCUCUUUCAGCAGGAACGAAGCGUAAGUGACGGUACCUGCAGAAGAAGCACCGGCUAACUAUGUG
This 467-nucleotide ribosomal RNA is filed under the name uncultured bacterium. Its description in RNAcentral is "partial 16S ribosomal RNA". It matches the Rfam family "Bacterial small subunit ribosomal RNA", at positions 28 to 507 of the family's 1533-position model. The record is from RNAcentral.